Molecule: transfer RNA, 58 nt
Filed under: Schistocephalus solidus
Lineage: Eukaryota; Metazoa; Platyhelminthes; Cestoda; Diphyllobothriidea; Diphyllobothriidae
Rfam family: tRNA
About the family: Transfer RNA (tRNA) molecules are approximately 80 nucleotides in length. Their secondary structure includes four short double-helical elements and three loops (D, anti-codon, and T loops).
Source: Rfam by way of RNAcentral
UAGCUCAAUGGUAGAGCGUUUGGCUUAAUAAACAAAAGGUCGUGGGUUCGAAUCCCAG